This 117-nucleotide ribozyme is filed under the name Aedes aegypti (yellow fever mosquito). RNAcentral's name for it is "drz-agam-1 ribozyme". It matches the Rfam family "drz-agam-1 ribozyme". The record is from Rfam by way of RNAcentral. Lineage: Eukaryota; Metazoa; Arthropoda; Insecta; Diptera; Culicidae.
UGCCCAGCAACUCCUAUGCCUACCUCCUCGCGGUACUGGCCGGGGUACGAGUAACCUUAGGGAAGAUCGGGUAACCAACCCCCGGUGGGAACUUUGGUCGUAUGCUGACAGGGAAGG